RNAcentral lists this ribosomal RNA (253 nucleotides) under uncultured bacterium. RNAcentral's name for it is "partial 16S ribosomal RNA". It matches the Rfam family "Bacterial small subunit ribosomal RNA", at positions 524 to 776 of the family's 1533-position model. The record is from RNAcentral.
UACGUAGGGUGCAAGCGUUGUCCGGAAUUAUUGGGCGUAAAGAGCUCGUAGGCGGUUUGUCGCGUCGAAUGUGAAAACCCGGGGCUCAACCCCGGGCCUGCAUUCGAUACGGGCAGACUAGAGUUCGGUAGGGGAGUCUGGAAUUCCUGGUGUAGCGGUGAAAUGCGCAGAUAUCAGGAAGAACACCCGUGGCGAAAGCGGCUCUCUGGAACGGUACUGACGCUGAGACGCGAAAGCGUGGGGAGCGAACAGG